CCCUUAGAUGUCCUGGGCCGCACGCGCGCUACACUGAUGCAUGCAACGAGUUUAUAACCUUGGCCUGAAAGGUCUGGGUAAUCUUUUGAACGUGCAUCGUGAUAGGGAUAGAUUAUUGCAAUUGUUAAUCUUGAACGAGGAAUUCCUAGUAAACGCGAGUCAUCAGCUCGCAUUGAUUACGUCCCUGCCCUUUGUACACACCGCCCGUCGCACCUACCGAUUGAAUGGUUCGGUGAAGAUCUCGGACUUCGAUAUCCAUUCUUUAUUGAGUUUAUAUUGUGGGAAGUUAUCUAAACCUCAUCAUUUAGAGGAAGGUGAAGUCGUAACA
This 328-nucleotide ribosomal RNA is filed under the name uncultured eukaryote. Its description in RNAcentral is "partial 18S ribosomal RNA". It matches the Rfam family "Eukaryotic small subunit ribosomal RNA", at positions 1470 to 1796 of the family's 1831-position model. The record is from RNAcentral.